AGUGAACGCUGGCGGUAGGCCUAACACAUGCAAGUCGAACGGCAGCACAGUAAGAGCUUGCUCUUACGGGUGGCGAGUGGCGGACGGGUGAGGAAUACAUCGGAAUCUACUUUUUCGUGGGGGAUAACGUAGGGAAACUUACGCUAAUACCGCAUACGACCUACGGGUGAAAGCAGGGGAUCUUCGGACCUUGCGCGAUUGAAUGAGCCGAUGUCGGAUUAGCUAGUUGGCGGGGUAAAGGCCCACCAAGGCGACGAUCCGUAGCUGGUCUGAGAGGAUGAUCAGCCACACUGGAACUGAGACACGGUCCAGACUCCUACGGGAGGCAGCAGUGGGGAAUAUUGGACAAUGGGCGCAAGCCUGAUCCAGCCAGACCGCGUGGGUGGAGAAGGCCUUCGGGUUGUAAAGCCCUUUUGUUGGGAAAGAAAAGCAGCAGGUUGAUACCCCGCUGUUCUGACGGUACCCAAAGAAUAAGCACCGGCUAACUUCGUG
This 492-nucleotide ribosomal RNA is filed under the name uncultured bacterium. RNAcentral describes it as "partial 16S ribosomal RNA". It matches the Rfam family "Bacterial small subunit ribosomal RNA", at positions 29 to 507 of the family's 1533-position model. The record is from RNAcentral.